Molecule: long non-coding RNA, 1177 nt
Organism: Gallus gallus (chicken)
Lineage: Eukaryota; Metazoa; Chordata; Aves; Galliformes; Phasianidae
Source: Ensembl
AUGAGAUGUUCUUUCAUUAAUAUGGUACCCCAGUGUUCCCUCUUAAACAUCACAGCCUAAAAAUAGCAUACAAAAAUCAUAAGAAUUUUUUUUCCCCCUCACAGAGAUAGAAAGGGUUAGGACAAAAGUACACAUAUUUUAGGACAACUCUCAUCCUUCCAGUUUAGAACAUACUCCUAUAUGUUGUUUGUUGUUCAGGUGGUCAAUAUCACAAAAUCGUGCGCUCUCCCUCCUCUUUUAUUACUGAAAAUGUGAGACACAGAUAGGUGUGGGGUUUCUCUCAGCCUUCUGAUUUUCAGGGCAGAAGGAACAAGCGCAGCUCUGUUGUUCUCUUGCAGAACAGUAGCCAGCGAACUACGCCAAUUUCUCUAUUAUUGAAAUCACACCGCUUGUUCAAGUCAAUAUAUUUUUAAGUGGAAGAGAGAAAAUCCACAGCAGAUCUGGGUAACUGAGUAGUCAGUUACCUUCGCUGUUAAAAACAGAAGUGUAUGGGUUCAGCCGGCUUUACCUUCUAACCACUGGAUCUCAUUACAUGCUUAAACUUUCCACCUCUAGAUUAAUGGAGCUGUCUACUAUCUAUUAGUGGAUCAAAUCACCUCUUAACCUUCUCUUCAAUAAACUUAAUAGAUUGAAGGAACGGGACAUUUAGCUUUAUCAAAAGGGUGUGAAACAAUACCACUCCUUCCACUUCCUCAGAACAGGGUUUCUGCAGGAGAUGUGAUCAGUGGUUGGCUUUGUACCAGUCCCCAGGGGCAAAGCAUUUAAUCCAAGUUGGUACAGAAGCUGAGAAAAAUACGGAGUUAGAAAGAAAAUCUAAGGCAGCCUAUUAAAGAUUCCUUCCUUUCCUAGAUAUUCAGCUCCUGAAACAACUCUGCUUUCGAUAUUUCCCAAUGUUUGAAAGGCUGUUCCAGCAAAGGCAGAAGAAAUGUGCUUUUUCGGCACUGUCUGGACGCUUUAAAAAGCAAAAGGAAUGGCAACACACAAGCUCCAUAAAAGCAAAGGAAGAAAGAAGUCUAUCUUUACAGUCUGUUACAGUAAGCUAUAGAGUCACACCAAGCAAUACGCAAUUAUGCCAUGCACACACUGACAACAUAGGCAUAAAGUCGUAUUAAGAAGAAAUCAAGGAGUUGCAUUAUGGCACCGCCUUAAAGAGUAAUACCUGAUGGCAUUUUACAUC